Molecule: small nuclear RNA, 55 nt
Filed under: Salmo salar (Atlantic salmon)
Lineage: Eukaryota; Metazoa; Chordata; Actinopteri; Salmoniformes; Salmonidae
Description: U7 small nuclear RNA (ENSSSAG00000087982.1, ENSSSAG00020067418.1, ENSSSAG00070004868.1, ENSSSAG00075015230.1)
Rfam family: U7 small nuclear RNA
About the family: Animal histone pre-mRNAs are spliced by a different mechanism than nuclear pre-mRNAs and self-splicing introns.
Source: Rfam by way of RNAcentral
GACAAUUUUCUCUUUUAUUAUUUCUCCAGUAGGUUUCCUCAAGGAGAAAGCCCCC